Molecule: ribosomal RNA, 407 nt
Filed under: uncultured delta proteobacterium
Lineage: Bacteria; Deltaproteobacteria
Description: bacterial SSU rRNA
Rfam family: Bacterial small subunit ribosomal RNA
Source: RNAcentral
GAGUUUGAUCCUGGCUCAGAGCGAACGUUAGCGGCGCGCUUAACACAUGCAAGUCGCACGAGAAAGGGCUUCGGCCCCAGUAAAGUGGCGCACGGGUGAGUAACACGUAGGCAAUCUACCCUCAGGCGGGGGACAACGUCCCGAAAGGGACGCUAAUACCGCAUAAGACCACGAUGGCUUCGGCUGUUGGGGUAAAAGCUGGCCUCUGCAUGCAAGCUAGCACCUAAGGAUGAGCCUGCGGCCCAUCAGCUAGUUGGUAAGGUAACGGCUUACCAAGGCGAAGACGGGUAGCUGGUCUGAGAGGAUGACCAGUCACACUGGCACUGGAACACGGGCCAGACUCCUACGGGAGGCAGCAGUGGGGAAUAUUGGACAAUGGGCGAAAGCCUGAUCCAGCGACGCCGCGU